This 462-nucleotide ribosomal RNA is filed under the name uncultured bacterium. Its description in RNAcentral is "partial 16S ribosomal RNA". It matches the Rfam family "Bacterial small subunit ribosomal RNA", at positions 29 to 523 of the family's 1533-position model. The record is from RNAcentral.
AGCGAACGCUGGCGGCAGGCCUAAUACAUGCAAGUCGAACGGCUCUUCGGAGCAGUGGCGGACGGGUGAGUAACACGUGGGAACGUGCCCUUUGGUACGGAACAACUGAGGGAAACUUCAGCUAAUACCGUAUGUGCCCCCAUUCUUAGCGGGAUGGGUGGGAAAGAUUUAUCGCCAUUGGAGCGGCCCGCGUUGGAUUAGCUAGUUGGUGGGGUAAAGGCCCACCAAGGCUACGAUCCAUAGCUGGCCUGGGAGGAUGAUCAGCCACACUGGGACUGAGACACGGCCCAGACUCCUACGGGAGGCAGCAGUAGGGAAUCUUGCGCAAUGGGCGAAAGCCUGACGCAGCCAUGCCGCGUGAAUGAUGAAGGUCUUAGGAUUGUAAAAUUCUUUCGCCGGGGAAGAUAAUGACGGUACCCGGAGAAGAAGCCCCGGCUAACUUCGUGCCAGCAGCCGCAGUAA